GCUAUUAGUCAAGAUGGUUAGGGACUCAAUCCCCAUGCUCCAGGUAUCUAGUUCUAGUGCUAGACACUGGGACUAUACAACACUUGAAAUUGCCCAGUAAUGUUCAUUUCUUCUGAAGCAUCUGGCACUGGUCACUUUCAGAAGACAAGGUACUCCCAUUGUCCGAUCAUCUCUCUUUAACCGCAUGGAAGAUUUCCCUAAUAUCUAAUAUAAAUGUCUCUAUUUUUAUUCAAUUAAGGUCUGAGAACCCAUUAGUGGAUGGACUACCUGAAGUCAAUGUUGGAUUCUUGGAUGAAGGGUCCAUCAAGGGCCAGAACACGUGUCCACACCCAAUUUUCAGCUACUUUUUGGCUCCU
This 356-nucleotide long non-coding RNA is filed under the name Chrysemys picta bellii (western painted turtle). RNAcentral describes it as "lncRNA (ENSCPBG00000018078.1)". Lineage: Eukaryota; Metazoa; Chordata; Testudines; Emydidae. The record is from RNAcentral.